Molecule: RNase P RNA, 299 nt
Filed under: Heliconius melpomene (postman butterfly)
Lineage: Eukaryota; Metazoa; Arthropoda; Insecta; Lepidoptera; Nymphalidae
Description: nuclear RNase P
Rfam family: Nuclear RNase P
About the family: Ribonuclease P (RNase P) is a ubiquitous endoribonuclease, found in archaea, bacteria and eukarya as well as chloroplasts and mitochondria. Its best characterised activity is the generation of mature 5'-ends of tRNAs by cleaving the 5'-leader elements of precursor-tRNAs. Cellular RNase Ps are ribonucleoproteins.
Source: RNAcentral
GGGAUUGAAAUGUUCUUUAUAUGUUAAAUGUUUCGUUUUGAGAUUGAUAUAUGUUGGUCAAUUCCAUCUCGGGAAGGUCUGAGUAAAGGUCGCCGGUGUUGGUACUUUACCCUCUAGCCGGGGGCGUCGCUCACAGCGAUGGCGGGGAAACCAGAAAUAUUGACCCUAGAAUUAGUCAAGGAAUCUUUCCAGAGGAGACGUAGCUCUAAAGGUCAUUGGAAGUUCCCGUGGCCGGCCAUUUUAGUUUGAUCUGUGACACGGUUCCGCCGUAACUCAAUUCAGACUAGUCUUCGGCUCGC